RNAcentral lists this ribosomal RNA (253 nucleotides) under uncultured bacterium. RNAcentral describes it as "partial 16S ribosomal RNA". It matches the Rfam family "Bacterial small subunit ribosomal RNA", at positions 524 to 776 of the family's 1533-position model. The record is from RNAcentral.
GACGAACCUUGCAAACGUUAUUCGGAAUUACUGGGCUUAAAGGGUGCGUAGGCGGUGCAGAAAGUCAGGUGUGAAAUACCUCAGCUUAACUGAGGAAUUGCGCCCGAAACUACUGUGCUAGAGGAAGACAGAGGUAAGCGGAACUUAGGGUGGAGCGGUGAAAUGCGUAGAUAUCGGAAGGAACACCAGUGGCGAAAGCGACUUCCUGGUCCAAUACUGACGUUCAUGUGCGAAAGCGUGGGGAGCAAACAGG